GAUGAAGAACGUAGCGAAAUGCGAUACUUGGUGUGAAUUGCAGAAUCCCGUGAACCAUCGAGUCUUUGAACGCAAGUUGCGCCCGAAGCCAUUAGGCCGAGGGCACGCCUGCCUGGGCGUCACACGUCGUUGCCCCCCCAUCUACUCCUUCGGGAUUGCGGGGGGCGGAUGAUGGCCUCCCGUGCGCCUCGUCGCGCGGUUGGCAUAAAUGCCAAGUCCUCGGCGACGCACGCCACGACAAUCGGUGGUGGCGAAACCUCGGUUGCCCGUCGUGUGCGGUCGUCGCGCAUCGAGGGCUCGAAAAAAUUGCCGGGCUCCGGCUCGGCUUUCAACGCGACCCCAGGUCAGGCGGGGUUACCCGCUGAAUUUAAGCAUAUCAAUAAGCGGAGGA
RNAcentral lists this unclassified non-coding RNA (391 nucleotides) under soil metagenome. RNAcentral's name for it is "partial contains 5.8S ribosomal RNA, internal transcribed spacer 2, and large subunit ribosomal RNA". The stretch from base 1 to 122 matches the Rfam family "5.8S ribosomal RNA", at positions 35 to 154 of the family's 154-position model. The record is from RNAcentral.